RNAcentral lists this ribosomal RNA (468 nucleotides) under uncultured bacterium. Its description in RNAcentral is "partial 16S ribosomal RNA". It matches the Rfam family "Bacterial small subunit ribosomal RNA", at positions 28 to 507 of the family's 1533-position model. The record is from RNAcentral.
GACGAACGCUGGCGGCGUGCUUAACACAUGCAAGUCGAACGGAAAGGCCCUGCUUUUGUGGGGUGCUCGAGUGGCGAACGGGUGAGUAACACGUGAGUAACCUGCCCUUGAUUUUGGGAUAACUUCAGGAAACUGGGGCUUAUACCGGAUAGGAGCUCCUGCUGCAUGUUGGGGGUUGGAAAGUUUCGGCGGUUGGGGAUUGGCUCGCUGCGUAUCUGCUUGUUGGUGGGGUAGUGGCUUACCAAGGCUUUGACGGGUAGCCGGCCUGAGAGGGUGGCCGGCCACAUUGGAACGGGGAUACGGCCCAGACUCCUACGGGAGGCAGAAGGGGGGAAUAUUGCACAAUGGGCGGAAGCCUGAUGCAGCAACGCCGCGUGCGGGAUGACGGCCUUCGGGUUGUAAACCGCUUUCGCCUGUGACGAAGCGUGAGUGACGGUAAUGGGUAAAGAAGCACCGGCUAACUACGUG